Long non-coding RNA from Cucurbita maxima (winter squash), 614 nucleotides. RefSeq lists it as uncharacterized. Lineage: Eukaryota; Viridiplantae; Streptophyta; Magnoliopsida; Cucurbitales; Cucurbitaceae. The transcript has 3 exons. The record is from RefSeq and is a predicted model, not a curated record.
GAUCUUCUCCGCGCUGCUCUUUUUCUUCCACUCUUCUAGUGGAUGAAUGACUACGGACCCAUUUACAGGCUCGCCGCUGGCCCUAGAAAUUUUGUCGUGGUUAGUGACCCCGCCAUUGCUAACCACGUUCUCAGCAGUUAUGGGACUUUCGCUAAAGGCCUUGUUUCUGAUGUCCCCGAGUUCUUGUCGGGGUCGGGUUUCGCGAUUGCAGAAGCCCCUCUUUGGACGGAGAAGUGUUGAAGAACUCAUUGCGAAGUGCAAAGAAAUUGUGGGAGCUGAGGAGGAAUAUGUGAAUGACGCUGAUCCAAGCAUCCUUUGAUUUUUGCUGGUCAGUACACAAGAGGGUUUGGGAUGAAGCAGAAGAGUUUAUAUCAGAAAGAUUUGAGUUGGAAGGUCCUGUGCCUAAUGAAAGCAAUGCAGAUUUCAGGUACUUAUUCUGUUUUUGUGUGGAGACUACCCUGUUGAUUGUUUUAAAUAGUACAGUAGACACUUACUAGUCGCUCACAUAGCCAUGCUUGGUGCAAGAAGCUUGACCCCGGGUGAGUUGGGAGGGAGUCCUACAUUGACUAAUUAAAAGUUUGAUCAUGAGUUUAUAAGUAAGGAAUACAUCUCCC